UAUGUCUGUGUUAAAUAUACAAGUUGUGGCCAUUUUCACAAGAUUUGAUUGUUUAAAAUUCACAUGGACAAAGUAAGGAUUCUGGGGGACACGAGGUGUGCUCCAGCAAAUAUUUCCUCUGUGGUCCCAUUAAAGAUGGAUUUAAACAUGAAGAGUGUGAGAUGGCAAAAGCAAAGACAUUCUGUACUUAAUCAGAAGUACAGAUAUUAGUGGCAAAACCACUCCAGUAAAAGUAGCUCUUUGGAGGAUUUUUCUACCAGCUAUUUUUGUGCAAAGCUAAUUAAACCUUGUGCUAUAUUAAUGUAUCAUUAAAGUAACAUUAAUACAUAAGAAAAUGACCUUUACUUCUUUAAAUUUUAAUUCUCAUAAAUAUACGCAGCUUGAAUCAGUUUGGUAGAACAUGAGCAGAGAAAAAGACGAAAGAUUUUAAAAUAUCUCUACAUUGUAGAGAGCGACUCUAAACAGAAAAUGAGUAAGGAACGGGUUAAAGUGGGAUUCAGCAGGUGGGGGAACUCUAAAAUUGGUUGUAGUGGCUCAACAAGAGGUUAAGAAUCGCAAUUUCUAUUCAAAGCUUCAGUAAAUUUUCUUUGUGUACAGGCUGUGAUCAGCUGAUCUGGGCUGCUGGUGCUUUGAGGUCCUGAUCUGAAUUAGACAGGUUUCAAGGAUUUCGAGUGCUCAGGCAAAAUAGAAAAGUGCUGUACAAGAACCAGUCCAUUUACCAUUUGGUUUACUAGCUGGCAAAAUGUUGAAAUUGAUCAAAAAAUAUACUUUUCUUUUUCUUCUUGUUGAUCCACAGAUUCAUUGAGAGUAACAAACUAGAGACUACAUCCAAAUAUGCCUUCAGAGGACUCAGGGACCUGACUCAGUUGUAUGUUCCAGUGACUGAAAAUACAACUGUUAUCUGUUAUACAUGAUUUAAUGAUGUCUCUUUUUCAUAAUCAACUGCAUUUGUUGACACAUUCAGCUAUAAGAAUGAUGUCUACGUGGCCAUUUCUGCUCCCAGCACAGAGAGCUGUAUGAUUUUCCAGUGGGACCACAUAGAAAUGAACUUCAGGACUUAUGAUAACAUCACAGUGAUGGCAGCAGCAGCGUUCAGGAGCAGAGGACUGGCUGGUGUCAGAAACACCAACGUUUUAAUCCUCAUCUUUCUGCUGUCCCUGGUUUAUGUCACAAAUUCACUGAUGAAAGUAAGAACAAAGUCACUGCUGAAUUAACUGUUGCUGAAGGUACUUCUAUGAAACAUUUAUUUGCAAAUGUAAAACUACAGUCACUAUGUAACUCAUUAUAAGCAUAUCAGAGUUUAAACGGACGCAUCCUGUUUUUGUAAAUUUAAAAACAUUCUGACAAGUUUCUUAGAACAACUUAGGAAAUCAGAAAAAGCAAAAGCAGCCAGAAGGAAGGCGGGUCAGUCAGUUUCAUCUCUAUUGCAUGUUAUCAGUCAAAUUUGGUCAUGUAGGAAACAACAAAUGCGUAUGAGUCAUAUCAGUGCACACUAAGAGAACUGCAACUCAGUCUGACUGUAGAAGUAAGUUUGACUUAUAUCCCCAUUAAGUUAUUCAUAUGUAACUUUAUUAAAUUAAUUUGGUACAUGUUGUGGUAAACAGAGAAUGUCUUUUGCUUUUCUGAAAUUGCCCAAUAAUUCAUUAAUGUUCGAUUAUAUUUUUAAACAUUAUACAUGUGUAUGUAAUUUGUAUGUAACUGUAUCAUGUGAAGAUUUUCUCUUGCGCUUCUUCGUCAAGCCCUAAAGUUAAAAUAAAUCAGAGCUGAUGCUUCUUGUACAAACUGUAGCAUCCUCCCCCGCCCACUUACAAUGGA
This is a long non-coding RNA of Oreochromis niloticus (Nile tilapia), 1815 nucleotides long. RefSeq lists it as uncharacterized. The transcript has 2 exons. NCBI's taxonomy places the organism in Eukaryota, Metazoa, Chordata, Actinopteri, Cichliformes, Cichlidae. The record is from RefSeq and is a predicted model, not a curated record.